GACGAACGCUGGCGGCAGGCCUAACACAUGCAAGUCGAACGAGUGGCGGACGGGUGAGUAAUGUCUGGGAAACUGCCCGAUGGAGGGGGAUAACUACUGGAAACGGUAUCUAAUACCGCAUACCAUCGGAUGUUCCCAUAUGGGGUUGGCUAGUAGGUGGGGUAACGGCUCACCUAGGCGACGAUCCCUAGCUGGUCUGAGAGGAUGACCAGCCACACUGGAACUGAGACACGGUCCAGACUCCUACGUGAGGCAGCAGUGGGGAAUAGUGCAGAAUGGGCGCAAGCCUGAUGCAGCCAUGCCGCGUGUAUGAAGAAGGCCUUCGGGUUGUAAAGUACUUUCAGCGAGGAGGCGUUACUCGCAGAAGAAGCACCGGCUAACUCCGUGCCAGCAGCCGCGGUAAUUC
This 406-nucleotide ribosomal RNA is filed under the name uncultured bacterium. RNAcentral's name for it is "partial 16S ribosomal RNA". It matches the Rfam family "Bacterial small subunit ribosomal RNA", at positions 28 to 526 of the family's 1533-position model. The record is from RNAcentral.